Molecule: ribosomal RNA, 497 nt
Filed under: uncultured bacterium
Lineage: Bacteria
Description: partial 16S ribosomal RNA
Rfam family: Bacterial small subunit ribosomal RNA
Source: RNAcentral
GAUGAACGCUGGCGGCGUGCCUAAUACAUGCAAGUCGAGCGAACGGACGAGAAGCUUGCUUCUCUGAUGUUAGCGGCGGACGGGUGAGUAACACGUGGAUAACCUACCUAUAAGACUGGGAUAACUUCGGGAAACCGGAGCUAAUACCGGAUAAUAUUUUGAACCGCAUGGUUCAAAAGUGAAAGACGGUCUUGCUGUCACGUAUAGAUGGAUCCGCGCUGCAUUAGCUAGUUGGUAAGGUAACGGCUUACCAAGGCAACGAUGCAUAGCCGACCUGAGAGGGUGAUCGGCCACACUGGAACUGGGACACGGUCCAGACUCCUACGGGAGGCAGCAGUAGGGAAUCUUCCGCAAUGGGCGAAAGCCUGACGGAGCAACGCCGCGUGAGUGAUGAAGGUCUUCGGAUCGUAAAACUCUGUUAUUAGGGAAGAACAUAUGUGUAAGUAACUGUGCACAUCUUGACGGUACCUAAUCAGAAAGCCACGGCUAACUACGUG